GCCGGGUGUGGUGGCGCAUGCCUGUAAUCCCAGCUACUCGGGAGGCUGAGGCAGGAGAAUCGCUUGAACCUGGGAGGCAGAGGUUGCAGUGAGCUGAGAUCAUGCCACUGCACUCCAGCCUGGGUGACAGAGUGAGACUCCGUCUCAA
RNAcentral lists this non-coding RNA (148 nucleotides) under Homo sapiens (human). The record is from Rfam by way of RNAcentral. Lineage: Eukaryota; Metazoa; Chordata; Mammalia; Primates; Hominidae.